This 830-nucleotide long non-coding RNA is filed under the name Gossypium barbadense (sea-island cotton). RNAcentral describes it as "long non-coding RNA (GBAR_LNC006823)". The record is from RNAcentral. Lineage: Eukaryota; Viridiplantae; Streptophyta; Magnoliopsida; Malvales; Malvaceae.
UUAAAUAUAUUAAAUUAAAAUGUGUAUAUAAUAGAAUAUCAAAAUAUUUUAUAAAUUAUGUACAGGCCAAUUUUGGGCCACCCCCAAAACCCAAUAACUAACCUACCCUAAUCCAAAAACCCCUAAUCCAAUAAGCCCAUUAAACAAAACAAGCCCAAACCUUAGCCCAACUACCCAAAACCCAACACUUGACCCAGGCCCAGAAGCCCAAACUCCAGACUUAGGGUUUCAGAAACCUUAGCCUACUCAGCCGCAACCUUCCCCACUUGUACUUAGUCCCAUACACUGCUCCACUAUAGCAGCCCCAUACCCCCACGCGUCUGACACCAUCUGCCGCCGCAUGCUCCUCCUCCACCACCAGCUCCUCCAUACCCUGCAAAGACAGAAGCAGACCAAACAGAAUGGGACAAAAGAUAAACAAUAUUUUCCUAGUUUUGUAGUCGGCUAUAAAGCUAAGAAAUAAACAUUUGUAAAAGGGAAUUUUUGCUAUGAAAACAAAGAUUUUCUUUCAAUAUUAACAGAUUAAAUACAAGAACCAUUAUACAAUCAGGGGCUCUAACACCAAAUCAGAGAAUCAAAUCUAAAACCUAAGGUGACUUUUUUUUUUCUUUUUUUUCUUUACUGUUUUGAGUUUGUUUUUUACAUAAAAAUACUAAAAAAUAUCAAAACAUAAAAACUAUUAAGCAUAAAAAAAUAGAAAAAAAUAAAAAAUAUUUUUUUUUUACCUUUUCCGGCCACCGUACGCCGGCGCCAGCGAGCCUUCGGUGGCCGUCCGGUGACCGGCCAUGGCCGGAUUCCCCUCUCUUCUCUCUCCAUUCUCUCUUCCCUCU